RNAcentral lists this ribosomal RNA (903 nucleotides) under uncultured Mycoplasma sp. RNAcentral's name for it is "bacterial SSU rRNA". It matches the Rfam family "Bacterial small subunit ribosomal RNA", at positions 105 to 1002 of the family's 1533-position model. Lineage: Bacteria; Bacillati; Mycoplasmatota; Mollicutes; Mycoplasmatales; Mycoplasmataceae. The record is from RNAcentral.
GGUGAGUAACACGUGCUUAAUCUACCCUUUAGAUUGGAAUACCCAAUGGAAACAUUGGCUAAUGCCGGAUACGCAUGGAAUCGCAUGAUUCCGUUGUGAAAGGAGCCCUUAAAGCUCCGCUAGAGGAUGAGGGUGCGGAACAUUAGUUAGUUGGUAGGGUAAUGGCCUACCAAGACUAUGAUGUUUAGCCGGGUCGAGAGACUGAACGGCCACAUUGGGACUGAGAUACGGCCCAAACUCCUACGGGAGGCAGCAGUAGGGAAUAUUCCACAAUGAGCGAAAGCUUGAUGGAGCAACACAGCGUGCACGAUGAAGGUCUUCGGAUUGUAAAGUGCUGUUAUAGGGAAAGAACACCUGGUUGAGGAAAUGCUUCCAGGCUGACGGUACCCUGUCAGAAAGCGAUGGCUAACUAUGUGCCAGCAGCCGCGGUAAUACAUAGGUCGCAAGCGUUAUCCGGAAUUAUUGGGCGUAAAGCGUUCGUAGGCUGUUUAUUAAGUCUGGAGUCAAAUCCCAGGGCUCAACCCUGGCUCGCUUUGGAUACUGGUAAACUAGAGUUAGAUAGAGGUAAGCGGAAUUCCAUGUGAAGCGGUGAAAUGCGUAGAUAUAUGGAAGAACACCGAAGGCGAAGGCAGCUUACUGGGUCUAUACUGACGCUGAGGGACGAAAGCGUGGGGAGCAAACAGGAUUAGAUACCCUGGUAGUCCACGCCGUAAACGAUGAUCAUUAGUCGGUGGAGAGUUCACUGACGCAGCUAACGCAUUAAAUGAUCCGCCUGAGUAGUAUGCUCGCAAGAGUGAAACUUAAAGGAAUUGACGGGGACCCGCACAAGCGGUGGAGCAUGUGGUUUAAUUUGAAGAUACGCGGAGAACCUUACCCACUCUUGACAUCCUUCGCAAUGCUAUA